AGUAAAAUCAGCUAAAAAAGCUCUUGGGUCCAUACCCCAAAAAUGUGGGCUAACAAUCCCUCUUUUACUA
This is a non-coding RNA of Synchiropus splendidus (mandarinfish), 70 nucleotides long. NCBI's taxonomy places the organism in Eukaryota, Metazoa, Chordata, Actinopteri, Syngnathiformes, Callionymidae. The record is from the annotation of a RefSeq genome assembly.